GCUCAAAUUUGAAAUCUCAGCGCAAGCUGCGAAUUGUAGUUUAGAGAAACGUUUUCGGGGCCGGCGCCAGUACAAGUUCUUUGGAACAAGGCAUCACAGAGGGUGAAAAUCCCGUCUUUGACUGGCUGCUUGGUUCCAUGUGAUACGUUUUCCAAGAGUCGGUUUGUUUGGGAAUGCAGACCAAAAUGGGUGGUAAAUACCAUCUAAAGCUAAAUAUUGGCGAGAGACCGAUAGCGAACAAGUACCGUGAGGGAAAGAUGAAAAGAACUUUGAAAAGAGAGUUAAACAGUGCGUGAAAUUGUCAAAAGGGAAACGUUUAAAACCAGUAUUGCGGGCAGAAACUCAGGUUCCAUUUAUGGUGCUGUAUUUUUCUGUCGGCGAGUCAACAUCAGUUUUGCUUGGAGUAAAACGCCAGGGGAAGGUAGCCUUCGGGUGUUAUAGCCUCUGGUAAUGCUCUGGGCGGGACUGAGGACUGCAGCGUUCUUUGGGUUUACCACACCAACGCUUAGGAUGUUGACGAAAUGGUUUUAAGCGACCCGUCUUGAAACACGGACCAAGGAGUCUAACAUAUAUGCGAGUAUUUGGGUGGCAAACCCUUAUGCGUAAUGAAAGUGAAAAGGUGGGAUCCUUUGCUGGUGCACCAUCGACCGCGCCAGAUUAUUGCUAUCUCGGCGUGAGUAUGAGCAUACAUGUUGGGACCCGAAAGAUGGUGAACUAUGCCUGAAUAGGGUGAAGCCAGAGG
Molecule: ribosomal RNA, 742 nt
Filed under: Boothiomyces macroporosus
Lineage: Eukaryota; Fungi; Chytridiomycota; Chytridiomycetes; Rhizophydiales; Terramycetaceae
Description: eukaryotic LSU rRNA
Rfam family: Eukaryotic large subunit ribosomal RNA
Source: RNAcentral